CCUGAAAAUCAUAGGAGGUCCAGCCUGCCCAGUGACAAAGUUAAACGGCCGCGGUACCCUAACCGUGCGAAGGUAGCGCAAUCACUUGUUCUUUAAAUGAGGACUAGUAUGAAUGGCAUCACGAGGGUUACACUGUCUCCCCCAUCCAAUCAGUGAAACUGAUCUCCCCGUGAAGAAGCGGGGAUAAAAAUAUAAGACGAGAAGACCCCAUGGAGCUUUAAACUCAGUAUCAACUGCUUUACAACAGACCUAAGUAACCUAGCAGAAAUGACUACUAGUUUUUGGUUGGGGUGACCGCGGAGCAAACACAACCUCCACGAUGAAUGGGCCUCCUACCCUUAUCCCAGAGCUACCACUCUAAGAAUCAAAAAAUUGACAAAAAUUGAUCCAAGUACUCUUGAUCAACGAACCA
RNAcentral lists this ribosomal RNA (412 nucleotides) under Micryletta inornata (false ornate narrow-mouthed frog). RNAcentral describes it as "partial 16S ribosomal RNA". It matches the Rfam family "Bacterial large subunit ribosomal RNA", at positions 1835 to 2459 of the family's 2925-position model. Lineage: Eukaryota; Metazoa; Chordata; Amphibia; Anura; Microhylidae. The record is from RNAcentral.